This is an RNA transcript of Malaya genurostris, 3306 nucleotides long. It is a transcript of the gene named major facilitator superfamily domain-containing protein 6-A, with no coding region annotated. The record is from RefSeq and is a predicted model, not a curated record. The transcript is spliced from 7 exons. Lineage: Eukaryota; Metazoa; Arthropoda; Insecta; Diptera; Culicidae.
GUGAAAAUCGUAGCAAUUGAAGUCACAUUAGUUGUAAGAGAGAUGCCAUUGAGUGUAUGUUCUUAAUGGUUUGUUUUGUAGUUCGUCUCGCAAUGCAUGCCGGGAACUUGCAUUCUUUCAUGAGCAAAAGUAUUAGAGUUUACUUCAGUUUUGAAUGAUUACGCGUUUGUGCGAAGUAGAAUAUUCCAGUUAUAUUCCGGAACGAAACAUAUUUUAACUUACGUCUCGAGUGCGCUCAGUUUUGUAUGUUUGAAAGAUCAAUAAAACAUUCAACAAUUGAAUUUACAUCAUUCAUGCCGAAUAGCGAGUUGGCACAAAUUUCUGUGAUACUGAUUCGAUUGAAAAGGUAGUGAAACCGAAAAACACCGGCUCGAGGCAAGGACAAAAUAUAUACUUGCAAUAAGAUGGGUAAAAUUGAGAUUAACAGGAAGCUACUGCCGAUGAAGGCACACUACUUCCUCUUUAACGCAGGAACUGCACCAGUGGUACCUUUCAUGCCAACGUUAGUAAGACAGCUGGGAUUUUCGACGGUCAUCGUAGGGACAAUCUAUACCGUACUACCGAUCGUUGGCUUGCUGGUUAAGCCUUUAUUCGGAGUCAUCGCUGAUCGGUUUCAACGACAGAAAUUGUUGUUUUUAAUAUUUCAAAUUCUCACCGCAAUUCCGUUCUUUUUAAUCAUGUUCAUCCCAGCAAUACCUCAAGAGUCCACCGUUUCGUUUCACUGUCACGAAGGAGCCUCGGACCUGCGGUACUGUCCCCCAACUGGUUCCCAGUUGGACAAUUGUCUCACCGAUCGGAUAGUGGGUGAUCAAUCUGCUAACGAUACCCUUCGCUGCCAGCUGGAGUGCCGUACGCAACCGUGGAUGUGGGAAACCGUGUGCAAGUACUGGAAGGUUACGGAAUACUGCGACGAGGGCAACAUUCCUUCGGACGAACUACUAAGACUGACUGGAUUGAUUCCAAAGAAUCAUAUAAAUCUUUUGGAUGGCUGUUUAUUUUUCCUACUGAAAGGAGCCGAACUGAACGAUAGCCACGUACCGCUGUACUGUCCAGCCAAUACUACUGACUUCAGAACUAGCUGCCAGGUGAAAUGCGACAGCACAGAAAUCAACGAAGCUAUCACACACUCCAAGAUAGCGGACAGCGAAGCCAAGGGAUUGUAUCAAUUCUGGUUGUUGUUUCUAUUUUUGAUUCUCAGCUGGGCCGGUAUGGCCGUCGUCGUCAGCGUCGGUGAUGCCAUCUGUUUCGAUGUGCUCGGUGAUCGUCCGCAUUUGUACGGCAAUCAACGGCUAUGGGGUUCAAUCGGUUGGGGUACAUUUUCGCUGCUGGCUGGCUUUCUGGUCGAUCAAUUUUCCCAUGGAAAAAGCACUAAAGACUAUACGGUAGUUUUCUAUAUGACGGUUAUCAUCAUCGGUUUUGAUAUUCUGGUAUCUUCUAAGCUUAAGCAUUCUCAAACAAGACUGUCUACCAAUAUCGUUAAGGAUAUCGGUAAAAUUUUUGCCUCAUAUAGAGUAGUUAUAUUUUUCUGCUGGUGUAUAUUAGUCGGGUUUGGAACGGCAAUGAUUUGGAACUUUCUAUUCUGGCACUUAGAGGAUUUGGCCAGUCUUCAACAAGGAUGUGAUCAUACCGCGUGGAUAAAAACGCUGGAAGGAAUCGUUAUGUCUAUCCAGUGUUUUGGCGGAGAGCUUCCGUUUUUCUUCCUGUCUGGAUGGAUUCUUAAGAAGAUUGGCCAUAUACACACCAUGAGUGUGGUUCUGCUAGGAUUUGGAAUUCGUUUUCUGCUCUACUCUUCACUCGUUGAUCCCUGGUGGGUUAUACCGAUUGAGUUCAUGAAUGGCAUUACGUUCGGACUUUUCUACGCCACAAUGGCAUCGUACGCUAGCAUAGUGGCACCGUCUGGCACUGAAGCAACAAUGCAGGGUUUGGUUGGAGCCAUUUUCGAAGGUGUUGGAGUGUCUCUCGGUAGUCUGCUAGCCGGCAACCUAUUUCAGAAAGUAGGCGGCAGUCAAACGUUCCGUCUGUUCGGAAUUGCUGCGCUGGUUUUGUGCGUUCUGCACGUGGCCAUCCAACUACUGGUGGAUCGGAUCGAAUCGAGGGGUAAGCAAAUUGACGAAAGAGUGGUAAAUGAUUCUAUAUUGAACCAGUCGCCCCAUGGCGAUAGUAAUGGCAUCGCAAAAGGUCGCGUGGUUGUAAAAACCGAUUCGGCUCUGUCGACUGCGACCGUACAAGAAGUGCUAGAAGACGAUGAGGAUGAAGAACUUAACCAACAACACCGAAAUGUUCCUGAAAACAAGACCAACGAAAGUAGCAUGGAGGGUGGAGGAUUUCAUGAUGUCAGUUUAACGAAAAGCUAGGAGAUAGGGCAUUUUUCAUAGAUUGACUAUUUUGUUAGUAACUGACACAAAGAAUCUUCAAUUAUUAAGAGAUUUGGCACAAAGGCGCUUGUACAAAGUAAAGAGGAAUACCUAUUAAAUUAAAAUUACUGACGCAUUUGAGUUUGUUAGAAUCGGAGGGCGAAACAAAACUGUUCAGUUAUCAGUAAAACGUAAUUACUCUAAUUGCCAUUAUACUAUUUUAGAAAAAGAACUGGACGUUUUACGUUACAAUUAAUUGCUCAAACUUUAUAGUUAAUAAUAUCACAAUCGUGUUCGCAAAUGAGAUCCGAAAAGCGGCAAUGCCGUUAAUUUCCAAAUCGUGAACCAUUUUAGCUACAUUAAAUGAUAACUCUGUUGAUUCUAGACAAAUAUUUUUCUAUCCACCGUUACAUUUUCUCACAAUAGAAAGAAAAGUUCUAAUCAAUCUGCUGAAAGAAAAGUUCUAAUCAAUCUGCUGAUUGCCGUCACUUUGCGUAGAACAGUAAAUCGCCAAUGAAUGACAUUUUCGUGGAGAUAAAAGUGAGCUAAUUGAUUGAACACUCAACUACUAACACUUUGUAAAGCUUUUUGAUCUGAAAUCAAACAACCUGCAAAACGUGUAUGGACGAACUGAAGUGAAACGAAAGGCUUGGGGCAAACGUAAUGCGUGUAGUAGCGUAUCUCUUGUAAUGAAAAAGGUCUUCCCGAGGCUACCGGUCACCCGUUGAUGCUUUGAAUCAUAUGGACGACGAUCAACUAAUUGUUCGUCGGGACGGACGGUGAUUGGCAGUCAUCUUGGAUGCAGAGGCAGAGGACGGUUCCAUAGUACGAUGUUAAAUAGGAUCAAACUUUAUUGAUAUGCGAAGAAUAGUUUUAAAAUAUAUUAAAAUCACUACCGUUAAGGUAAAUAAAAUAUCAUGAUUCGUUUGGUCUUUCUAUCUAGUUGUUCUAA